AAUAUUGGACAAUGGGGUCAACCCUGAUCCAGCCAUUCCGCGUGUGUGAAGCAGUUCUUCCGAUUUUAAAGCACCUUAAGUUGGGAGGAAGGGCUUUAGUUUCAUACCCUGACGCUUUUACGUUACCAACAGAAUAAGCACCGCCUAACUCUGUGCCAGCAGCCGCGGUAAUACAGAGGGUGCAAGCGUUAAUCGGAAUUACUGGGCGUAAAGCGCGCGUAGGUGGUUCAGUAAGAUGGGUGUGAAAUCCCCGGGCUUAACCUGGGAACUGCUUUCAUAACUGCUGAGCUAGAGUACGGUAGAGGGUAGUGGAAUUUCCUGUGUAGCGGUGAAAUGCGUAGAUAUAGGAAGGAACACCAGUGGCGAAGGCGACUACCUGGACUGAUACUGACACUGAGGUGCGAAAGCGUGGGGAGCAAACA
This 422-nucleotide ribosomal RNA is filed under the name uncultured bacterium. Its description in RNAcentral is "partial 16S ribosomal RNA". It matches the Rfam family "Bacterial small subunit ribosomal RNA", at positions 360 to 774 of the family's 1533-position model. The record is from RNAcentral.